Molecule: transfer RNA, 73 nt
Filed under: Caudoviricetes sp.
Lineage: Duplodnaviria; Heunggongvirae; Uroviricota; Caudoviricetes
Description: tRNA-Ile
Rfam family: tRNA
About the family: Transfer RNA (tRNA) molecules are approximately 80 nucleotides in length. Their secondary structure includes four short double-helical elements and three loops (D, anti-codon, and T loops). Further hydrogen bonds mediate the characteristic L-shaped molecular structure. tRNAs have two regions of fundamental functional importance: the anti-codon, which is responsible for specific mRNA codon recognition, and the 3' end, to which the tRNAs corresponding amino acid is attached (by aminoacyl-tRNA synthetases). tRNAs cope with the degeneracy of the genetic code in two manners: having more than one tRNA (with a specific anti-codon) for a particular amino acid; and 'wobble' base-pairing, i.e. permitting non-standard base-pairing at the 3rd anti-codon position.
Source: RNAcentral
UGACCCAUAGCUCAGACGGUCAGAGCGGCGGUCUUAUAAACCGUGUGCCGGGGUUCAAUUCUCCGUGGGUCUA